UGGCCUAUAAAUACUCCGUACGACGCCGAAGGCCUCUUCAUCUCGAGUCCAACCUUUCUCCUCGCUUCCUGCAGACAGAUAGACGCGAUGGCUUCACUGAAGAUUCACGCUCUCCUCUUUGCUUAUGCUUUGCUUGCGAUUCUCUUGCACCCUUGUCUUUGCCAAGACAUCGCAACCUCGACGAUGACCAGCUCAAGGAAGUUUGAUGGGAAGGCCAUCGAUCAAGGAAUUGCUUAUGUCUUGAUGCUUCUGGCGCUCUUCGUUACCUACCUCGUCCAUUGAGCUUCUUCGCUCGUAGCAGUGCAAUUGUUUGGAUGGAGAGACCCUUCAAAUAUUCUGUAAUUUGAUCCCUUUUAUCUUCUCUUCUCUUGGUAAUUCUUCCA
Molecule: long non-coding RNA, 383 nt
Organism: Musa acuminata AAA Group (dessert banana)
Lineage: Eukaryota; Viridiplantae; Streptophyta; Magnoliopsida; Zingiberales; Musaceae
Exons: 2
Source: RefSeq, a predicted model, not a curated record